RNAcentral lists this long non-coding RNA (345 nucleotides) under Androctonus crassicauda. The record is from RNAcentral. Lineage: Eukaryota; Metazoa; Arthropoda; Arachnida; Scorpiones; Buthidae.
UUUGAAUGCUAAAUAUAAAUGUACUGUAUUUUAUUAAAUUUAAUAAAUUCGGAGUUCAUUUUCAUUUCUCUAUUACACGUGUUUUCAAUAAACCGCCAACCCUGAUUAGCCACCAAAAUUGUCCCCAAACAGAUGAUGGCAUCUUUUCAGGUUUUGACUGUAUAUUUCUCAUUCAUCUCUUUCACACAACUAAUGAUGGUUUUUUUACAUUAUGAAAUAAAAAAUACAUAUGUUAGUAUCCUUGAAAAUGAAAUUAAAAAUUUGCUUUUAAUUAAUUUUAUUGUCACUCUUAAUAAGCAGCACAAUAUGUGCUUAUAAUCCAAUAUAUAAUAAAUAUUUUCCCUG